AAGAUCAUACUUCAAGGGAUCAUUUCUGAAGUAAACUUAACAGAUUCGUGACGGAAUCUGUAAGCAACACCGACCACGAUGAUGAGGUGUGGAGUUUCCUUCUGAGCGCGAAGCGGGUCGGCUGACUGUCUUUUUUUGCAGAUGGCCGGCCAUUGAUGACCGUUCCCGCUUUCUAUCAGGAAGUCGGGAGGGAGGAAACUCGUUCUGAGUGGU
Small nucleolar RNA from Centruroides sculpturatus (bark scorpion), 213 nucleotides. RefSeq annotates it as small nucleolar RNA U3. The transcript has a single exon. The record is from RefSeq and is a predicted model, not a curated record. Lineage: Eukaryota; Metazoa; Arthropoda; Arachnida; Scorpiones; Buthidae.